Mus musculus (house mouse) is the source of this 1038-nucleotide long non-coding RNA. RefSeq annotates it as predicted gene, 36372. The transcript has 5 exons. The record is from RefSeq and is a predicted model, not a curated record. Lineage: Eukaryota; Metazoa; Chordata; Mammalia; Rodentia; Muridae.
UGAGAGAGAGAGUGUGUAUUUUCUAUGGUUCUGGGCAUGGUAAGAGAAUGUGUCUGUUGUGUUAAAUUACUUGGUUUGUGGCAUUUUGUCUCUGCAGCCCUAAACUCAGUGGUUCCCAAGACAUGGAUGCCUCCCAGUGAUGAAGAAUCCAGGAUGACAAGAAUUCAGGAGCUAAGAGGAGUCCAGAGAGAUCCUGGUGACAACACAGAAGAUGAGAUUUCCUAAAACCUGUGACAAAGAGUAAAAAAGGCUCCUUAGAAACACAAGUAAUUCACAAGUGGAAGAAGCCAGCCAGCUCUUAGGCAUGUACAGUGGGAUCUAGGUCAACUAAGGUUUGUUCCUGCAGAAAGCAAGCCUCUGCACUCUGAGCUCAUGUGACUUCUCAUUGAGACAUCUGAUCUCGGAGCUUCCUGGCCAAAGGCACAGCACGCAUGGCUGAACUCUAUUAAUUCUAGCUGGAAAACCCUGCAAGGAUACAGUUAAUAUGUGGCAAUGGAAACAGUCAUGAGAGCUUCUGAGGCCAUUCCCUCUUUGCAGACAGACCUGCUGUGAUUUGACCAUGAUGUCAUCUUCUGAGUAAACUAUUCCUCAUGUAAUGCAAGAUCUGGGACCUCUGGGAAGGAUGUUCUAUUAGUCCAAACAUAGUUCCCUGAAAUGCAUGCACUCCACUGAAGAACAACCCUGUCUGAGCGUCAGGGAGACAGACAUGGGAAUCAAAGUGGCCACAAGUUUUUGGGCAGCUAUAAAUUACCUGGUCUUGAAUGAAGCAUGUCAUCUCCCAGUGUCUGCUUUCUCAUCAUCAAACAAACAAAAUACCUCAAGACAACGUCUGUUCACCACAGUGCCUGCAUCCUCCCUGCUUAGCCCAUAGCUUGGCUCCGACCCUUGGCGUUUCUGGUGACUAGCACUGGCCAUAGGGCUCACUAUCAGAGAAUAAAUGUGAUGAGAAGUGACAUGUGGCUGAAUUCAUUAUUUGUCUGCUGCUGUGAUAAAGCACCAUUACCAAAAGCAGCUUGGGAAAGAAAGAAUGUAUUGUGA